AGAAAUAUGUCUGAUAAAAGAGUUACUUUGAUAGAGUAAAACAUAGAGGUUUAAAUCCUCUUAUUUCUA
Molecule: transfer RNA, 69 nt
Filed under: Catopuma temminckii (Asiatic golden cat)
Lineage: Eukaryota; Metazoa; Chordata; Mammalia; Carnivora; Felidae
Also listed under: 2 other names
Description: tRNA-Ile
Rfam family: tRNA
About the family: Transfer RNA (tRNA) molecules are approximately 80 nucleotides in length. Their secondary structure includes four short double-helical elements and three loops (D, anti-codon, and T loops). Further hydrogen bonds mediate the characteristic L-shaped molecular structure. tRNAs have two regions of fundamental functional importance: the anti-codon, which is responsible for specific mRNA codon recognition, and the 3' end, to which the tRNAs corresponding amino acid is attached (by aminoacyl-tRNA synthetases). tRNAs cope with the degeneracy of the genetic code in two manners: having more than one tRNA (with a specific anti-codon) for a particular amino acid; and 'wobble' base-pairing, i.e. permitting non-standard base-pairing at the 3rd anti-codon position.
Source: RNAcentral